AGCAGCCGCGGUAAUUCCAGCUCCAAUAGCGUAUAUUAAAGUUGUUGCAGUUAAAAAGCUCGUAGUUGAAUUUCGGGAUCAAUAUGUUGGUCGUGCCUCGGUACGUACUAGCUUAUUGGUUUCUCCUUUCUGAAGAACCAUGAUGUCAUUUAUUUGGUGUCGUGGGGAAUCAGGACUGUUACUUUGAAAAAUUAGAGUGUUUAAAGCAGGCUCACGCUUGAAUACAUUAGCAUGGAAUAAUGAAAUAGGACGUUUGAUUCUAUUUUGUUGGUUUCUAGGAUCGACGUAAUGAUUAAUAGGGAUAGUUGGGGGCAUUAGUAUUCAAUUGUCAGAGGUGAAAUUCUUGGAUUUUAUUGAAGACUAACUACUGCGAAAGCAUUUGCCAAGGAUGUUUUCACUAAUCAAGAACGAAAGUUAGGGGAUCGAAGACGAUCAGAUACCGUCGUAGUCUUAACCAUAAACUAUGCCGACUAGGGAUCGGAUGAUGUUAAUUUUUAAUGUACUCAUUCGGCGCCUUAAC
This 520-nucleotide ribosomal RNA is filed under the name uncultured Glomus. RNAcentral describes it as "SSU rRNA". It matches the Rfam family "Eukaryotic small subunit ribosomal RNA", at positions 569 to 1092 of the family's 1831-position model. The record is from RNAcentral. Lineage: Eukaryota; Fungi; Glomeromycota; Glomeromycetes; Glomerales; Glomeraceae.